GCCGUGAUAGCUCAGCUGGGAGAGCGAUAGACUGAAGAUCGUCCUGAAUUGCGUUAAUUCAGGUUUGAACCUUCUGCCAUCUACAGGUCGUUGGUUCAAAUCCGACUCAUGGCA
This is a non-coding RNA of Ceratobasidium sp. 392, 114 nucleotides long. Lineage: Eukaryota; Fungi; Basidiomycota; Agaricomycetes; Cantharellales; Ceratobasidiaceae. The record is from the annotation of a GenBank genome assembly.